Molecule: ribosomal RNA, 253 nt
Filed under: uncultured bacterium
Lineage: Bacteria
Description: partial 16S ribosomal RNA
Rfam family: Bacterial small subunit ribosomal RNA
Source: RNAcentral
UACAGAGGGGGCCAGCGUUAUUCGGAAUUAUUGGGCGUAAAGGGCGCGUAGGCGGCUUUGUAAGUCGGGGGUGAAAGCCUGUGGCUCAACCACAGAAUUGCCUUCGAUACUGCAUGGCUUGAGACCGGAAGAGGUAAGUGGAACUGCGAGUGUAGAGGUGAAAUUCGUAGAUAUUCGCAAGAACACCAGUGGCGAAGGCGGCUUACUGGUCCGGUUCUGACGCUGAGGCGCGAAAGCGUGGGGAGCAAACAGG